AUUGAACGCUGGCGGUAUGCUUAACACAUGCAAGUCGAACGGUAGCAGGCCUUCGGGCGCUGACGAGUGGCGGACGGGUGAGUAACGCGUAGGAAUCUGCCCUGUAGUGGGGGACAACUUAGGGAAACUUAAGCUAAUACCGCAUACGCUCCCAAUUGAAAGAUUGGGAGGAAAGCGGGGGACCGUAAGGCCUCGCGCUAUAGGAUGAGCCUGCGUUGGAUUAGCUAGUUGGUAGGGUAAAGGCCUACCAAGGCGACGAUCCAUAGCUGGUCUGAGAGGACGAUCAGCCACACUGGGACUGAGACACGGCCCAGACUCCUACGGGAGGCAGCAGUGGGGAAUAUUGGACAAUGGGCGAAAGCCUGAUCCAGCAAUACCGCGUGUGUGAAGAAGGCCUGAGGGUUGUAAAGCACUUUCAAUUGGGAGGAAAAAGGUAAGCUUAAUACGCUUACCCUUGACAUUACCUUUAGAAGAAGCACCGGCUAACUCCGUGCCAGCAGCCGCGGUAAUACGGAGGGUGCGAGCGUUAAUCGGAAUUACUGGGCGUAAAGCGUGCGUAGGCGGCCUGUUAAGUCAGAUGUGAAAGCCCUGGGCUCAACCUGGGAACGGCAUUUGAAACUGGCAAGCUAGAGUUAGGUAGAGGGAAGUGGAAUUUCAGGUGUAGCGGUGAAAUGCGUAGAUAUCUGAAGGAACACCAGUGGCGAAGGCGGCUUCCUGGACCCAAACUGACGCUGAGGUACGAAAGCGUGGGUAGCAAACAGGAUUAGAUACCCUGGUAGUCCACGCCGUAAACGAUGUCGACUAGCCGUUGGGCUCUUAUAGAGUUUAGUGGCGCAGCUAACGCAUUAAGUCGACCGCCUGGGGAGUACGGCCGCAAGGUUAAAACUCAAAUGAAUUGACGGGGGCCCGCACAAGCGGUGGAGCAUGUGGUUUAAUUCGAUGCAACGCGAAGAACCUUACCUACCCUUGACAUCCAGAGAAUCUGUUAGAGAUAGUAGAGUGCCUUCGGGAGCUCUGAGACAGGUGCUGCAUGGCUGUCGUCAGCUCGUGUCGUGAGAUGUUGGGUUAAGU
RNAcentral lists this ribosomal RNA (1071 nucleotides) under uncultured bacterium. RNAcentral's name for it is "bacterial SSU rRNA". It matches the Rfam family "Bacterial small subunit ribosomal RNA", at positions 28 to 1085 of the family's 1533-position model. The record is from RNAcentral.